GUGAGGAAUAUUGGUCAAUGGGCGAGAGCCUGAACCAGCCAAGUCGCGUGAAGGAAGAAGGAUCUAUGGUUCGUAAACUUCUUUUGCAGGGGAAUAAAGUGCGGGACGUGUCCUGUUUUGUAUGUACCCUGAGAAUAAGGAUCGGCUAACUCCGUGCCAGCAGCCGCGGUAAUACGGAGGAUCCGAGCGUUAUCCGGAUUUAUUGGGUUUAAAGGGUGCGUAGGUGGUUUGAUAAGUCAGCGGUGAAAGUUUGCAGCUUAACUGUAAAAAUGCCGUUGAAACUGUCGGACUUGAGUGUAAAUGAGGUAGGCGGAAUGCGUGGUGUAGCGGUGAAAUGCAUAGAUAUCACGCAGAACUCCGAUUGCGAAGGUAGCUUACUAAGCUACAACUGACACUGAAGCACGAAAGCGUGGGGAUCAAACAGGAUUAGAAACCCGGGUAGUCC
RNAcentral lists this ribosomal RNA (445 nucleotides) under uncultured bacterium. RNAcentral's name for it is "partial 16S ribosomal RNA". It matches the Rfam family "Bacterial small subunit ribosomal RNA", at positions 354 to 796 of the family's 1533-position model. The record is from RNAcentral.